RNAcentral lists this microRNA precursor (81 nucleotides) under Eptesicus fuscus (big brown bat). RNAcentral describes it as "microRNA efu-mir-9223c precursor (efu-mir-9223c-2)". It matches the Rfam family "mir-9223 microRNA precursor family". Lineage: Eukaryota; Metazoa; Chordata; Mammalia; Chiroptera; Vespertilionidae. The record is from miRBase by way of RNAcentral.
AGGGCAGCUCUCGGGUGACACACCCUGGAAUCAGGCUCCCUCCUGUCUGGUUCUGGGUGCGUCACCCGAGAACCGCAGCUA